RNAcentral lists this ribosomal RNA (475 nucleotides) under uncultured organism. RNAcentral's name for it is "partial 16S ribosomal RNA". It matches the Rfam family "Bacterial small subunit ribosomal RNA", at positions 331 to 797 of the family's 1533-position model. The record is from RNAcentral.
GUACACUCCUGCGGGAGGCAGCAGUGGGGAAUUUUGGACAAUGGGCGAAAGCCUGAUCCAGCCAUGCCGCGUGCAGGAUGAAGGCCUUCGGGUUGUAAACUGCUUUUGUACGGAACGAAACGGCCUUUUCUAAUAAAGAGGGCUAAUGACGGUACCGUAAGAAUAAGCACCGGCUAACUACGUGCCAGCAGCCGCGGUAAUACGUAGGGUGCAAGCGUUAAUCGGAAUUACUGGGCGUAAAGCGUGCGCAGGCGGUUAUGUAAGACAGUUGUGAAAUCCCCGGGCUCAACCUGGGAACUGCAUCUGUGACUGCAUAGCUAGAGUACGGUAGAGGGGGAUGGAAUUCCGCGUGUAGCAGUGAAAUGCGUAGAUAUGCGGAGGAACACCGAUGGCGAAGGCAAUCCCCUGGACCUGUACUGACGCUCAUGCACGAAAGCGUGGGGAGCAAACAGGAUUAGAAACCCCGGUAGUCCCA